AAUCAGUAAGUAUGUCAGACUUUCCUGGAUGUCCCGUCGUAUGAAUUAAAGUUUUCUUUCUUUCUUAAUUUAUAAUUUUAAUAAAAUUCAUUCAAGCAAUCGGGACAAUCUUACUGGAUGUAAGCUUGAGAGCCUACUUGUCUCAUUGGCUGUUUGUCUCUCUUCCUCGUCAACAUCACCACCUCCGCUGUCAUGUCGACACAGAGUCUGGCGAGGUAUCUUUGCCUUACAGUGAGGUUCCAGCAUGUUUGCCUACGUCCGGUUUAUCGACGACAACAUCCGUCAGAUAGUGCCCUUGGACCAUAUAAAAGACUUCUGUCCACAGGACGUCAAGGAUUUUGAAAUAAAGAAAAAAUAUCAUAUUUUGUGGAAGAAAUCCCCAGAGGACCAGGGACAAUACUACAAAGCACAGAUAUUAAAAUUGGCUGGUAGGAUUUUAAAGCUAUACCUCCUAAAUAUAUCUAACGUUAACCAUUUUAUUUUAAGCACAUUCUUGUACAAAAUCUGUUGCAUUGCUAGAAACGUGGGUAUUAUAGUCCCUGCUACAAAAUAUUCUGAUAACAACCACCAAAAUCUACACUGGUGACUGACAAAGAACUACUGUAGUUAUUUUUGUGUGACAUUUUAUUUUAGGUUUGUUGUUAUUUAUAUUUUCUUUCUUUCUUUCUUCUAUUAAUCAGAAACUAAAGAGGAAUUAACUCGUGAGAGAAUCUCGAUACCCCCACUCGAUAGUGAUGAGGAAGACCGGUCAUCCUCGAGAAGGUCCAUGAAUCCAUCUUGUGACAACACAAAUGACAAGAAAAAAAAAAAGGCAGCAGUUCAAAGCAUACAAAAAAGGAAGAAUUUAAUGGAUAUCCUAAAAGAAAAGAAAAAAGUUAUCCAGACCAGUUUUGAAUCACAAGAGGAACAUGUCCCCAUGGCUGUGCACAAGGAACUGCAAGACAAAUAUUACAACCUCAAAAAAAGGAUGCGAGAGGAGGAGAUGGCUAAUGAAGAAAAUGGGAAAAAAAUUAAAUGCUUAAAAGAAGAGAAAAGGGACAUGAAGGCUGAACUGCAGCAACUAAGGUGGUUAAACCUAAAUCUCCAAGAGGAGCUUUUCCAAAAAAAAAAAAUAACACAGAAUGAGACCUCUUCUGCAGUCCAUACUCCACUCCCACAACAGCCAUUUCAUGGUCCAGAAAAACUAGCAGAAGAGCAAACAGACAUGAUACCCAAAAUAAAACGAAAAGAACCACAGACCUCUUCUGCAGGCCACACUCAACUCCCACAGCAACCAGUUCUUGGUCCAGAAGAACCAGAAGAGGAGCUAAGACACAGCGAUGGCAAGGAUCUAGGAUACGGAGUCAUGAUACCCACAAAAAUGGGACAUUGUGAGGAGAGUUGA
Molecule: long non-coding RNA, 1384 nt
Organism: Cyprinus carpio carpio
Lineage: Eukaryota; Metazoa; Chordata; Actinopteri; Cypriniformes; Cyprinidae
Source: Ensembl